RNAcentral lists this small RNA (1793 nucleotides) under Histoplasma capsulatum. RNAcentral's name for it is "hypothetical RNA". The record is from RNAcentral. RNAcentral also lists the same sequence under 1 other name. Lineage: Eukaryota; Fungi; Ascomycota; Eurotiomycetes; Onygenales; Ajellomycetaceae.
UCCGCCUGGGUCGCCACUCAGCCCUGAGUUAAAUACUGAACUGCCCAAAUAAUCCCAGAUGGUUAACGAUUACUAGCGGAAUAUCAUUAUAAUUGGAAGAAAUAGUCACUAGUCCAGUCAGUUAUCUUCCAGUCGCAUAUGCAAGAAAACAUGCAUGGUGAGUGCAGUCGUCGUUCUGGGCCACGUUCAAUGAAAAAACAAGCGGCAUCAUCACCCGGUUAUUUCAAUAUUUGAUUGGAGAGUUUGGUAGGAGAGAAUAAAACCAGAAAUUCUGACUCUGGCCACAUACAGAACAGAUCAUGUGGCUGUCGAUCAUUUAGAAAGAAAUGUUAUUUGAUCUUGUAAUCCAAAGAGAGAUGGACGGCAUACAAAUUCACCAGGAACAUCUACGAUAUAUGGAUACCAACCCACCUAAAAAGAUAAAAGAUUAUUGCAGCAGAGAUGAUUUUUCCAUAUUAGGUAUUGGUGCUUUGAUUCUCAUGUCGGUGUGUUGGGAUCUUAGCUGCGGGCCCUGUCACUCCAAAAUCCUCAAAAGGUGAAUGCCAGUCAAUCGUGAGAUUAGCCGCUUGGUCUCAAGAGGGCCUAGUCAAAUGCAGGUAGGCUAAUUCCAGACAUUGUUGAGUUCAGAUAUGAGAAUGAUGCAUGAAACACCCAGUACAGGACACGCUGAUUCUUUGAUAGCUUAAUAGACUCACUCAUGCACCCCUCUAAGCGUCCCACAUCCAUAAAAUGAGAGGCGCAGCCAAAACAUAGACCUUUAACUCGGUAGGAUGUUCCGAAGUUGACAUCAUAGUAGAUUGAGACAUAAGUCAAUUCAUCAUUGACCGCAAAAGAUUGAGCUUCCUCUCAUGCUUCUCCUAAUAUAUCCAGGCUACUAUCUCUAUGGAAAAUUUUGAUCCCGCAGAGAUAGCCAUUCCCAGAUAAACAUUCCAUAUAAAUGGUAAUCCUUGACACUGCUGUGAAGUCCGCCAUAGAAAGAAAAGCAACAGUUGGCUCACAAGAUCCAGUGAACUUGAUGGUAACUGUUUCAUACCACAUUGCUGGUUGUGAAGUAUUGACAUUCACAUGCUGUUGGAGAGGCCCGCUCUGCAGAACACUGAGAACUGAUAUGCAGUCCAUUCCUAUACCCUGUCCUCAUUGUUUCAGUAAAAUAGAUUGCAAGGGAGAGAAAUAAACACUUACUAUAGAAACAGAGGGGCUAAUCCUAGAUGUACAGAACACCCCCAUUGAGAACACAGCAACACACCAAUUUUUCGCUGUUGGAUCUCCGAAAAUAGCGCUCCUGCCAAAAUUGGUGAAGAACUAAAAGUAUAAGUAGGAAUUGCUAAACAAUUGGAGAAAAUGAAAAUCUCACCUUCAUUGCUACACCAGAGUUUACAUUUGCCUCUGCGCAGGCAAGCGCUGUGAAAACCUCUCCUACUUGGAAGUCGACAUGAAAAGAGACCUUGAUCGCCGACAGAUGUGGGCGGCCGAUAUUGACCAGACUACUUCCGAAUGUAAACUCAAAUCCCAUAAUAGAUUGAGUCCACACAUCUAUGAACGCGCUUAUAGCUUUCGCGUCUCCAAGAUGCUUAUCAACAAAGCUGAAGGGUAAUACACCAUCGAGUGGGUGUUGAUUGACUAGGACAGUUGAUGUCAUACACUCAGACAGCAAUUUGGAAUCCCAAGCAACUGAUUGACUUUGAAGUGGAUCUGAUGUAUAAGCAAUCGCGUGUACUUUAAAUGCCUAACAAUGAUUUAGCGAUGCAAUCAAGGAUGAUAAUAGGAAGAGAAUAUACAUCAACAGAGAUGGC